AGUGAACGCUGGCGGUAGGCCUAACACAUGCAAGUCGAACGGCAGCACAGUAAGAGCUUGCUCUUACGGGUGGCGAGUGGCGGACGGGUGAGGAAUACAUCGGAAUCUACUUUUUCGUGGGGGAUGACGUAGGGAAACUUACGCUAAUACCGCAUACGACCUACGGGUGAAAGCAGGGGAUCUUCGGACCUUGCGCGAUUGAAUGAGCCGAUGUCGGAUUAGCUAGUUGGCGGGGUAAAGGCCCACCAAGGCGACGGUCCGUAGCUGGUCUGAGAGGAUGAUCAGCCACACUGGAACUGAGACACGGUCCAGACUCCUACGGGAGGCAGCAGUGGGGAAUAUUGGACAAUGGGCGCAAGCCUGAUCCAGCCAUACCGCGUGGGUGAAGAAGGCCUUCGGGUUGUAAAGCCCUUUUGUUGGGAAAGAAAAGCAGCAGGUUAAUACCCCGCUGUUCUGACGGUACCCAAAGAAUAAGCACCGGCUAACUUCGUG
Molecule: ribosomal RNA, 492 nt
Filed under: uncultured bacterium
Lineage: Bacteria
Description: partial 16S ribosomal RNA
Rfam family: Bacterial small subunit ribosomal RNA
Source: RNAcentral